RNAcentral lists this small RNA (125 nucleotides) under Marmota monax (woodchuck). Lineage: Eukaryota; Metazoa; Chordata; Mammalia; Rodentia; Sciuridae. The record is from RNAcentral.
GCUGGGCAUUGUGGCACAUGCCUGUAAUCCCAGCAACUAGGGAAGUGGAGACAGGAGAAUUGCAGGUUUAAAGCCAGCCUCAGCAACAGUGAGGUGCUUAGCAACUCAGUGAGACCCUGUCUCUA